This 500-nucleotide ribosomal RNA is filed under the name uncultured bacterium. RNAcentral describes it as "partial 16S ribosomal RNA". It matches the Rfam family "Bacterial small subunit ribosomal RNA", at positions 30 to 523 of the family's 1533-position model. The record is from RNAcentral.
AUUGAACGCUGGCGGCAUGCUUUACACAUGCAAGUCGAACGGUAACAGGCCGCAAGGUGCUGACGAGUGGCGAACGGGUGAGUAAUGCAUCGGAACGUGCCCAGUCGUGGGGGAUAACGCAGCGAAAGCUGCGCUAAUACCGCAUACGAUCUAUGGAUGAAAGCGGGGGACCUGUAAGGGCCUCGCGCGAUUGGAGCGGCCGAUGUCAGAUUAGGUAGUUGGGGGGGUCAAGGCUCACCAAGCCGACGAUCUGUAGCUAGUCUGAGAGGACGACCAGCCACACUGGGACUGAUACACGGCCCAGACUCCUACGGGAGGCAGCAGUGGGGAAUUUUGGACAAUGGGCGCAAGCCUGAUCCAGCAAUGCCGCGUGCAGGAAGAAGGCCUUCGGGUUGUAAACUGCUUUUGUACGGAACGAAACGGCUCUGGUUAAUACCUGGGGCUAAUGACGGUACCGUAAGAAUAAGCACCGGCUAACUACGUGCCAGCCGCCGCAGUAA